UACGUAGGAUGCAAGCGUUGUCCGGAAUUAUUGGGCGUAAAGAGUUCGUAGGCGGUUUAUUAAGUCAGAGGUUAAAGACCAAGGCUCAACCUUGGGAGUGCCUUUGAUACUGGUAGGCUUGAGGAUGGCAGAGGAAAGUGGAAUUCCAAGUGUAGCGGUGAAAUGCGUAGAUAUUUGGAGGAACACCGGUGGCGAAAGCGACUUUCUGGGCCAUAACUGACGCUGAGGAACGAAAGCGUGGGGAGCAAACAGG
RNAcentral lists this ribosomal RNA (253 nucleotides) under uncultured bacterium. Its description in RNAcentral is "partial 16S ribosomal RNA". It matches the Rfam family "Bacterial small subunit ribosomal RNA", at positions 524 to 776 of the family's 1533-position model. The record is from RNAcentral.